GGGCGGGUCAUUUCCCGUCGAAA
This 23-nucleotide small nuclear RNA is filed under the name Arabidopsis thaliana (thale cress). Its description in RNAcentral is "snRNA_02008". The record is from RNAcentral. Lineage: Eukaryota; Viridiplantae; Streptophyta; Magnoliopsida; Brassicales; Brassicaceae.